AGUUAACGUUCAAUUUUUGAAGUUUCUCUAGCUUUUUUGUUGGGUGAAAUCAGUAUAAGGAGCUCUUUCUUCUUUAAAAAUUAGUAGGAAUUAAAAAACUUUGAUUUAAAACCAGGAUUAGAUACCCUGUUAUUCUCAGUUAUUCUUAAACAGGGUAGUAAAAGUUGUUCUUCAAACCCAAAGAUUUUGGCGGCACUUUAUCCAAAUAGAGGAGCUUGUCCCUUAAUCGAUAGUCCUCGUUUUAUCUUUCCUUCAUUUGUAAAGCUUGUAUACCGCCGUUGUCAGAUUACUUUUAGAGAAUGUUUUCAAGUUAAAAGACUUUAUAACUUCAGGUCAAGGUGCAGUUUAUAUGGGGGUGGAGGUGAGCUACAGUUUCCUUUAGAAAAUACGGAUUCUAAGCUUUGAAGCUAGCUGAAGGUGGAUUUACUAGUAAAGAAAUUUAAGUAAA
RNAcentral lists this ribosomal RNA (448 nucleotides) under Daphnia mendotae. Its description in RNAcentral is "partial 12S ribosomal RNA". The record is from RNAcentral. Lineage: Eukaryota; Metazoa; Arthropoda; Branchiopoda; Diplostraca; Daphniidae.